Molecule: long non-coding RNA, 441 nt
Organism: Terrapene triunguis (Three-toed box turtle)
Lineage: Eukaryota; Metazoa; Chordata; Testudines; Emydidae
Exons: 4
Source: RefSeq, a predicted model, not a curated record
CUGAAAAUGUUUCUCUGCUCCUUCAGAACCUGCAGCUCAAUGACAGCAGAGUCUACAGCGUCACCUUCAAAGCACCACAGCAAACCAGACAUAUCACAUUGACUGUAUCUGAACCUUAUUUCAACCAUGGAAACGCAGAUGGUGGAACAGGAAAUGAAAUGAAUUCACCUCUUGUCCUUCUCCUUGGACUCUUGAUCACCGGAGGCUUAAGUUUUCUCCUGCUCCUCCUGUUGCUGUUCUUCUGCUGCAGAUGGCAUAAGGGUGCAGUUCAGCAUAGGAGGACAAGAAUCAUAAAGCAACAAGAAGAGGGUUGUUUGUCUUUAUCUAGGUCCCAAACCAUGAGGAGUCUCACAUGGAAAGUUCGUUACCAAUGACGGUAUCAUCAAUUUAUGCAAGGAUUGGAGAAGAUGCUGGGCAGAGGCAGCGCAGAUCAGAGUCACA